RNAcentral lists this long non-coding RNA (845 nucleotides) under Ananas comosus (pineapple). RNAcentral's name for it is "long non-coding RNA (ACOM_LNC013298)". The record is from RNAcentral. Lineage: Eukaryota; Viridiplantae; Streptophyta; Magnoliopsida; Poales; Bromeliaceae.
AUAUAUAUAUAUAGUCCAGCUACUAUACUCUUAUAAGUACGAUCGCUCUCGUACUCAUAAGUCGUUUUCGAUGAUAGAACUUCCAAAUCGACGAUCCAUACGGUUAAACAUUAUCUAAAACAUUUAAAACUUCUAGAAAUCAAAUUUCAUAAUUUUUCGAUAUCAUUUACCUUACAAUCAAAAGCUCACAAAAUUGACAAUUUGUAACAGCCGGUAUGGGAUACUUGCUAGUUUAACGUUGUAAAAGAAUCGGAAUAGGUUGAAUUUUUAAUAGAAAAUUCUAUUCACUACCUAGAUAAAAGUCAAUAACUCUAAUCUUAAAUUGAAGGAUCCGAUCAUCUAUUUUUAGAACGUCGUUCGAUUUUGACCGUUCAUUUUAUGCCCGCUAGAUGGACUUUAUUAUGAUUUCGAAAAAUUACGAAAUUUAUUUUUUAGAAGUUUCAAAUACUUUAGAUCAUAUUUAAUGGAGUGGAUCGUCAAUUCAAAAGAUCCAUCAUCAAAAACAACUUAUGAGUACGAAAGGCUCUAUACUCAUAAAAGUAUAGUAACCCUAGCCUAUAUGUAUAUAUGUAUAUAUAUGUAUACAUAUAUAUGUAUACAUAUAUAUGUAUACAUAUAUAUAUAUACAUAUAUAUAUAGAGUCCGGCUACUAUACUAUUAUGAGUACGAUCGCCCUCGUACUCGUAAGUUGUUUUCGAUGAUAGAGCUUCCGAAUCGAUGAUCCACACCGUUAAACGUUAUCUAGAGCAUUUGAAACAUCUAGAAAUCAAAUUUCAUAAUUUUUCGACAUCAUUUACCUCACGAUCAAAAGCUCACAAAAUUGACAAUUUUUAACGGCCGGUAUG